Molecule: non-coding RNA, 73 nt
Organism: Stegodyphus mimosarum
Lineage: Eukaryota; Metazoa; Arthropoda; Arachnida; Araneae; Eresidae
Source: Rfam
GCCUUCGUGGUGUAGUGGUCAGCACGCUCGACGCAUAUUCCAGAGGUCUGUGGUUCGAGUCCUGGCGAGGGCA